This 185-nucleotide ribosomal RNA is filed under the name uncultured Rhodococcus sp. RNAcentral describes it as "partial 16S ribosomal RNA". It matches the Rfam family "Bacterial small subunit ribosomal RNA", at positions 973 to 1159 of the family's 1533-position model. Lineage: Bacteria; Bacillati; Actinomycetota; Actinomycetes; Mycobacteriales; Nocardiaceae. The record is from RNAcentral.
ACCUGGGUUUGACAUGCACCAGAUCGCCUCAGAGAUGGGGUUUCCCUUUGUGGUUGGUGUGCAGGUGGUGCAUGGCUGUCGUCAGCUCGUGUCGUGAGAUGUUGGGUUAAGUCCCGCAACGAGCGCAACCCUUAUCCCGUGUUGCCAGCAAUUCGGUUGGGGACUCGCGGGAGACUGCCGGGGUC